CGGACGUCACACGAAGCGUAAACUCAAAAAGUUUACGCGUAAACUGGGUUGCCAGGCGUAAACUUCAUGUCAAAAAGAUUUCAGGUCCGAGAGGGUGAAAUCUUGGCGUAAACUUUGAGCGUAAACUUUUGACAGAUAAAUUUACCGCGCGCUUUUCAUCGCACAUGGUAAACAAACGAAAAACAAAAAGCGAGCGCAAUGGAAAACACAAAAAAAACAGUCCGGAACUACGCAAAACAGGAUAUCGAGCAAAGCCGUGCCGUGAUAGAGGCAGUAAGUAAGCGUCCAUCUUUAUGGAAUAAAAAGUUGGACAGCUAUAAAAAUCGAAACGUCCAAAAUGAUGGGUGGACGGCUAUAGGUAGUGAGGUAGGGCUUCCAACUGCUGAAGCUAAAGCAGUGUGGAAAAACCUCCUCAACUCCUAUAGGACGUACAGGAGUAAAGUAAAAAAGUCAAAGCAUAGUGGGGCAGGCGCAUCGGAGGUGUACGUGCCAAGAUGGUUUGCCUAUGAAGCCAUGGCGUUCGUCGAGGACACGAUGGAGGAUGCGAACCAUCAGGAUACCGUAUGUAUAAUAUAUGUUUGGUUUAAGUAUAUGUAUGUUUAAUUUAGUAUUAAUGUUUAUUGGUUAAUGUUUAAUGUUCAAUAUUAACUUUAAUUAAUUGCUUUUAAUACUUUAAAAUUAGAUUUUUUUAUAAGAUUAUAAACUAUAAGAAUAUUGAGGUGAUCCCGCGGCAUUUCCGCGUAGGACGUUUACGCCAAGUAGAAGAAGAAGCCGGUCUCGUAGUUCAGUCGUCAACUCGUACGACAUAAACAACAUGCCCGUCAUGGGUUCAAUCCUCAAAUAGACCGUGCCGCCAUACGUACGAUUGACUAUCCUGCUAUGGGGGGGAUUCAAUUAGUCACUGAAAGCCAAGCCCGCAAGUGGGUACAGGCAGGCCUUGACCGACAACGGUUGUUAAGCCAAAGAAGAAGAAAGAAGAAGAAGAAGAAACUUAGAAUUAAUUUAGCACCUAAUUAAUGUGAAACAGUUGAGCAAAUGAUUAUAGCAGUAAAAGCUUUU
Anopheles gambiae (African malaria mosquito) is the source of this 1059-nucleotide long non-coding RNA. RefSeq lists it as uncharacterized. The transcript is spliced from 4 exons. The record is from RefSeq and is a predicted model, not a curated record. Lineage: Eukaryota; Metazoa; Arthropoda; Insecta; Diptera; Culicidae.